This 422-nucleotide ribosomal RNA is filed under the name uncultured archaeon. Its description in RNAcentral is "partial 16S ribosomal RNA". It matches the Rfam family "Archaeal small subunit ribosomal RNA", at positions 323 to 746 of the family's 1478-position model. The record is from RNAcentral.
CUACGGGUUGCUGCAGGCACGGAACCUUUACAAUGCACGAAAGUGUGAUAAGGGAAUUCCAAGUGCUCUGUCAAUGACAGGGCUUUUGUCAAGUGUAAGGAGCUUGGCGAAUAAGUGGUGGGCAAGACUGGUGCCAGCCGCUGCGGUAACACCAGCGCCACAAGUGGUAAUCAUGUUUAUUGGGUCUAAAGCGUUUGUAGCCGGUUUAGUAAAUUUCCUGUGAAAUUGUCCAGCUUAACUGGACAGCGUGCAAGAAACACUGCUGGACUUGAGACCGGGAGGAGACAAAGGUAUUUCGGGGGGAGCGGUAAAAUGCAAUAAUCCUCGGAGGACCAUUAAUGGCGAAGGCAUUUGUCUAGAACGGUUCUGACGGUCAGGGACGAAAGCUAGGGGAGCAAAACGGAUUAGAUACCCUAGUAGUC